UGGGGAAUAUUGGACAAUGGGCGAAAGCCUGAUCCAGCAAUGCCGCGUGAGUGAUGAAGGCCUUAGGGUUGUAAAGCUCUUUUACCAGGGAUGAUAAUGACAGUACCUGGAGAAUAAGCUCCGGCUAACUCCGUGCCAGCAGCCGCGGUAAUACGGAGGGAGCUAGCGUUGUUCGGAAUUACUGGGCGUAAAGCGCACGUAGGCGGCGACUCAAGUCAGAGGUGAAAGCCCGGGGCUCAACCCCGGAACUGCCUUUGAAACUAGGUUGCUAGAAUCCUGGAGAGGUGAGUGGAAUUCCGAGUGUAGAGGUGAAAUUCGUAGAUAUUCGGAAGAACACCAGUGGCGAAGGCGACUCACUGGACAGGUAUUGACGCUGAGGUGCGAAAGCGUGGGGAGCAAACA
Molecule: ribosomal RNA, 402 nt
Filed under: uncultured Altererythrobacter sp.
Lineage: Bacteria; Pseudomonadati; Pseudomonadota; Alphaproteobacteria; Sphingomonadales; Erythrobacteraceae
Description: bacterial SSU rRNA
Rfam family: Bacterial small subunit ribosomal RNA
Source: RNAcentral